UACGUAGGGUGCAAGCGUUAAUCGGAAUUACUGGGCGUAAAGCGUGCGCAGGCGGUUUUGUAAGUCUGUCGUGAAAUCCCCGGGCUCAACCUGGGAAUUGCGAUGGAGACUGCAAGGCUAGAAUCUGGCAGAGGGGGGUAGAAUUCCACGUGUAGCAGUGAAAUGCGUAGAGAUGUGGAGGAACACCGAUGGCGAAGGCAGCCCCCUGGGGUCAAGAUUGAC
RNAcentral lists this ribosomal RNA (222 nucleotides) under uncultured bacterium. RNAcentral describes it as "partial 16S ribosomal RNA". It matches the Rfam family "Bacterial small subunit ribosomal RNA", at positions 524 to 744 of the family's 1533-position model. The record is from RNAcentral.